Long non-coding RNA from Sapajus apella (tufted capuchin), 4587 nucleotides. RefSeq lists it as uncharacterized. The record is from RefSeq and is a predicted model, not a curated record. NCBI's taxonomy places the organism in Eukaryota, Metazoa, Chordata, Mammalia, Primates, Cebidae. The transcript is spliced from 2 exons.
GUGCUUUUUAUGGUCAUCUGUAAGGUUUGUGGGCCAAGCUGGGGUGCAAGCUGAGAGGGUAUGGGGCUUCCUCUCUUUGGGAACACAUCUUCAGGAUGGGAGAGCCUGGCAGUUUCCCAUAGGUGCGUCUGUAUUUAUUGCAAGUACUGAGGCAGAGCAUCAAAGGGAGAUGUCAGGUAACUCAGACCCUUCAUUUCUCACAAAAAACCCAAAACUGUCCUUCAGUUGUACCCAUUGCCUUUUUAUUUUACAUUUGUCAGGAGUCAUGAACCUAACCAAAAAAAUCAAAAAGGCAAUACAAGAGUAUUAAACAUUUGAAAGCGUUUUGAAUUUGUGUGCUAUGGCAUAGCUAAAAAGGAGUUUUAUCAACAUCCAAAUAAGCAGAAAGUGCUCCCAGAUUUAGGUGUAGUUGGAUGGAAAACUGAACACACUUGAUGUGAUUUCAAAAUGGAGUUUUCUGUCCAUAGAGACAACUUGUCCCAGAAUGAUUCCAGAAAGUGACCGUGAGGGAGGAUGUAGCAGACAGGGAAGCGAUUCUUAAAGGAGAGGGAAGCCCAGGUGGCAAACAUGGCCUUCCUUCAUCUGCAAGAAAAGAGUGUGAUUGGGUUGUUAAAUUUGCAUGUGAAUAUGCCUCGCAUGUAAAUACCUUUUUAUAAUGACAAUAUGCGGGGGCAAGGCUUGUUAAAUUGAAGUUCAUUUCUAUGGAAAGUCAGGAACCUUCUGAGGAGGCUUCUUCGGAUACCUUCCAAGCCUGUGAUCACACAGUGUGAAAAUAAUAGCCGUUGAUGGAGAAACAGUGGAUUUAAUGACAGGCAACUUUAUGUCUCUGUUGUCCUUAGCAAAGGCAGUGGUUUUCUCUUUCCUGUCCAAAGGAAGCCAGGGCAGGGCUUUGCAUUGACUCAGGCCCACUGAGGUGAGCAGGGCGCUCUUCACCGAACACAGCAGGGAAACUACCAGGGAGGCAAAAGCCUGCCCUUCACAAAAGUGAUGCCCUAUUUUACACGUGUAUGCUUAAAACACUCAUUAACUGAACUCUGUGGGGAGCUUGGACAGAUAAACAGAACAAUCUGAUCUGUACUUUCAGGCAGGGAAACAAGAGGCUUAAUUUUCUUUUUUCUGUUUGUUCAGUUUUAAAGUGAAAUUAUUUUUUUCCUCAAACUGCUAUAAAACCUAAGUUGAAGGCAUUUUUAAAAAAUAUAUCUGUUAUUGGAUUUGGUAUACAAUUCUGCUUACUCUAUAAAGAGUAAAGAAACAUAAAGAAUCUAAAGAAAUUUAAAGAGAAAAGGACCGCCUUUGUGAAAGACAGCACAGACAUAAAAUUGCCUGUCAUCAAAGCCGCGGAGUUUUCAUCCGCGGCCAUUUUUUCACAUUACAGAAUCACAGGCUUGGAAGGUAUCUGAAGUAGUUUCCUCAGAAAGUCCCUGACAUUCCCUAGAAAUUAACUCCUUCAAUUGUGCAAUUUAUAUUUGCAUAAAAAUUUCUUCAGCCAUUCAAUUUGCAAAAUAUAUAAAUCUGUCAACUAUAAAAUAUCUCUUAAGCAUGUUCUUUUUGGGUAUUUGAACCUGUGAUGGAUACAUGAUUUUAUGUCUGAGUACAAAUCCAUCAUUCCAGUAUUAAUCUUCAGCUUUAAUUAUUCAACUGUAGAAGUCUGAUAAUGAUUUCUCUGAGGAAGAUUUAAAUGUGAAUAGUCCAUCUUUAAUUAUAUAAUAUUUCUUCAAAAUAAUUCAAUUCACGUGACUGGCAUCUCCCCAUCCAGUUUUAGCCGCAUACCAGUGAUGCACAUUUACUCCCAAGAGUUAACAGCAUGGCCCUUGGCGGGAAAUACGGAGCCACCGUCAGGGCUUGGUGUGGCUCGAUGGUGGUAUCCAGAAGUUGCAAGGAUGUGGCUGAGCCCAGCUCCCGGCCACAGGUGGGCAUUCCUGAGCCCGGGGAGCCCCCAGACGGUGCAAGGUGUUGGGGAGUCGGCGAGCUGAAGCCACUCCCCUUGCCAACUGUGGCUCCAGGUCAGGCCCCACGCCCCACAGAGAUGGGCAGAGCUGGGCUCUUCAUGAUGGUGUGAAUGGAAAAUACAUUUCAGUACCCCAAAGCCACUCACUAAAGGUAAGCCAAGCUGGACACUGCGCCAGGCAAACUGCCUCCCAUUUUAUUUUAUUUCUAAAUAAGAUAGCUACAAAGAUUUUUAAAACCCUGCAUACCUCUCACGAUCUGUCCACAAGGAAACUCCUUGUGGAAUUUCCCCUCCCCGAGUCAAGUCGUCCAGACAGAACCAGUGUUCACCUUACACAUAUUGAUUGAGGUCUCAUGUGUCCCUAAAACGUUAAAACCAAGAUGUGCCCCAGCUGCCUUGGGCACCUGUUCUCAGGACACCCUGCGGCUGUCACCGGCCUGACCUUAACCUUGGCAAAGCACCCUUGAGACCUGUCUCUGAUAUUUGGGGUUCACUAUGGGAAUUUGGGGGACAGCCCCAGGUCCUUAAGAAAAGCAGUUUUGGGCCCAACGCAGAGGCCGAGAGGAUUCACUUCGCUUGGGCAGAAAGCAUUUACAGGCAGGGGUGCUCUGGGGGUCUGGGGGACCCAGGUCAGAUGACCCUGCUGGGAUUUAGUGGAGUUGCGGAGCCUAGACCACCCUGGCUGGGCCCAGGGAGCUUGCCCUGCAAUGGUGAGAGUAUGUCACCUAUGAUGUCUCUCACAAAGGGGUCACCACAGGCUGUGAUUAGGGGUUUUCUGAGGGCUCUGGGUUUGGCCAUGGACUGGAAUCACCGCACAGGAGGCACCAGGAGCGGCUAUCCCAGGACUCUCUCUCUGCUGCCUUUGAUCUGGGAGAGGGGCUCACAGGGAUGUGGAGGGAGGGCGUGACCAGCUGGGCUACCAGGACCUUUGGUCCCCCUCGUGCCCUGAGGCCGGUGGCUGGGUUUCUCAGAAACUCCCAGAGCUCCCACGUGGGUGAGCCUUGAGAGCGAAGCUCAGAGCCUCCACCACCCCCUCACCCACUUCUCCCCAUGCCCUCAGAACCCAGAUUCCUCCACUAAAACCCGGUGACUCCUGUCAUGUUUGCAGUGCCUCUGUUUACCCAGAAAACCCAGAGUGAUGCGGACAGAACAGAAACAGCGAAGUCAAUUUUCACUGCAGCGUGGCCGUGGUCUGAAUGUCUGUCCACUCCAAAGCUCCUGUAGAAACUUCAUCCCCAGCACAGCAGCAUUGAGGGGGGACUUUAAGAGGCGAUUGCAUCCUGGGGGCUCAUGAACGGAUUCCUUUAUCCAUAGACUCGUGGACUAACGGGCUGUUGGGGUAUGGGACUGGUGGCUUUACAGGAAGAGGAAGUGAGGGCGCGCUUAGCACUCCCCGUCACCGUGCGAUUCCCUAGCGUGAGAGGAGGAAGACAGCGCCAGAAUGUCCAUUGCAGGCAAAAUGUCAGGAGCAUUCCGGCAGAGACAGGGAUGGUCUCAGAGCGCAGGGGCUGCUGAAAGGAAGGACCUCACACUGGGAGGCUCCUGGCAGCAGAAAUGUGUCUCCACAGUCCCAGAGGUCACGUGUCUCAGGCCGCGCUGCCUCUGGAGGCUACAGGGGAGGACCCUUCCCUCCUCAUCCACCUUCCAUGGCCCUUACGCCCCUGGCCUUGUGGCUGCCUCACUCCACGUCUGCCGUCUCCACAUGGCUUCUCCUCUCUGUGUGUCUCGGAGUCAAACCCCCCUGAUGUUUUAACACCUGUCGGUGGAUUUAGGGCACAUAGUCCAGGACACAGUCAUCUCAAAAUCCUCCACUGGAUUCUACCUGCAAAGAUCCUUUUUCUGAAGAAUUUCAUGCUCCCAGGUUCUGGGGGCCAUGCAGAACAGCAGGACCCAGGCUGAGAUGUCUUCAGUGUGUCGGCUGGAGGUGGAGGUCAGAAGAGAAACCGGAUACUGGCAGAGUCCUGGGGGUCCUCCUCCAGACGCCAUCACCUUCAGAGGAGAGCAGUGACUUCGAGUGGGGAGCCCUGGCAGGCCCCAGCCCAACCUGGGUGUGCCAGCCUCACAAUGGCCUGGGCAUGCCAGCCUCGCCGUGGCCUGGGCAUCUGUGGCUGCACCAAGAGAGCACCACACACCCCUGCCACGGCCUCUCAAACAGCAGGUGCUUUUGGCUCUGGCGCUGAGGACACCUCCAUGAGAAAACCCUGUUCUGUCUGACACUCUGUGUGCAGGAAGACAAGGUGAGUCUGAGGGGACCCAGGUCCAAAGCUACGUGCCGUGUGUGACCCUGGAACGGAUCCCGGAGUAUCAAGGAAAAGUGCCAUUGCCCAGACAGUUGCGGGACGCAAAUGGGUCUGUGGCUUUGGCUCAGGAACAACCUGCUGAGGCCAGACACCUGGGGACUUGAUUCUUACAAUCUGAACACAAUUUUCCUGGACCAAGAGUUUGUAUUUAUUCUUCUGCAGCCUUAAAUAUUGAGAAGAGAACCUUAGAAAUAGAAAGACAGAAACGUAUAAAUGUACACGGUUCGCUGUCUCCCCAUACUGUUCCUAACCUGAAAGUCGCAGUCCAUCACCUCCUGAAAUCCUAUCCAUCUGCAGAGGUUUGUUUCAAAUCAAAUUUUUUCAUGGGAACAAUUGCUA